AUUGAACGCUGGCGGCAUGCCUUACACAUGCAAGUCGAACGGUAACGGGUCCUUCGGGAUGCCGACGAGUGGCGAACGGGUGAGUAAUAUAUCGGAACGUGCCCAGUAGUGGGGGAUAACUGCUCGAAAGAGCAGCUAAUACCGCAUACGACCUGAGGGUGAAAGGGGGGGAUCGCAAGACCUCUCGCUAUUGGAGCGGCCGAUAUCAGAUUAGCUAGUUGGUGGGGUAAAGGCCUACCAAGGCAACGAUCUGUAGUUGGUCUGAGAGGACGACCAGCCACACUGGGACUGAGACACGGCCCAGACUCCUACGGGAGGCAGCAGUGGGGAAUUUUGGACAAUGGGCGCAAGCCUGAUCCAGCAAUGCCGCGUGCAGGAAGAAGGCCUUCGGGUUAUAAACUGCUUUUGUCAGGGAAGAAAUCUUCUGGGCUAAUACCCCGGGAGGAUGACGGUACCUGAAGAAUAAGCACCGGCUAACUACGUGCCAGCAGCCGCGGUAAUACGUAGGGUGCGAGCGUUAAUCGGAAUUACUGGGCGUAAAGCGUGCGCAGGCGGCUUUGCAAGACAGAUGUGAAAUCCCCGGGCUCAACCUGGGAGCUGCAUUUGUGACUGCAAGGCUAGAGUACGGCAGAGGGGGAUGGAAUUCCGCGUGUAGCAGUGAAAUGCGUAGAUAUGCGGAGGAACACCAAUGGCGAAGGCAAUCCCCUGGGCCUGUACUGACGCUCAUGCACGAAAGCGUGGGGAGCAAACAGGAUUAGAUACCCUGGUAGUCCACGCCCUAAACGAUGUCAACUGGUUGUUGGACGGCUUGCUGUUCAGUAACGAAGCUAACGCGUGAAGUUGACCGCCUGGGGAGUACGGCCGCAAGGUCGAAACUCAAAGGAAUUGACGGGGACCCGCACAAGCGGUGGAUGAUGUGGUUUAAUUCGAUGCAACGCGAAAAACCUUACCUACCCUUGACAUGUCAAGAAUUCUGCAGAGAUGUGGAAGUGCUCGAAAGAGAACUUGAACACAGGUGCUGCAUGGCCGUCGUCAGCUCGUGUCGUGAGGUGUUGGGUUAAGUCCCGCAACGAGCGCAACCCUUGUCAUUAGUUGCUACGCAAGAGCACUCUAAUGAGACUGCCGGUGACAAACCGGAGGAAGGUGGGGAUGACGUCAGGUCCUCAUGGCCCUUAUGGGUAGGGCUACACACGUCAUACAAUGGCCGGUACAGAGGGCUGCCAACCCGCGAGGGGGAGCCAAUCCCAGAAAACCGGUCGUAGUCCGGAUCGUAGUCUGCAACUCGACUGCGUGAAGUCGGAAUCGCUAGUAAUCGCGGAUCAGCUUGCCGCGGUGAAUACGUUCCCGGGUCU
RNAcentral lists this ribosomal RNA (1352 nucleotides) under uncultured bacterium. Its description in RNAcentral is "bacterial SSU rRNA". It matches the Rfam family "Bacterial small subunit ribosomal RNA", at positions 28 to 1381 of the family's 1533-position model. The record is from RNAcentral.